CAACCAACUCGUGAUGGUGUCCGUAAAAUUUACGAAGGGAUAAUUUCAACCUCACAAUUUUGAACUCUUGGUUUAAUAGCUUCCUUGUGAGCAGCGAUCAUCUAUCACGGAAAUCAUGAUAGGAAAUACAAGUCCGGGAGUAUCGUAUCAAUUGGGAGAUAUAUACCUCAUACGCAGGCGCUGUUAGAAUGUUGCUACAUAGAAAUGGAAAGUUUACAAUUGGGAAGCUGAAAUCAUCCCUUUUGUCGCAAAGUCUGGUUUUCAACCGACCCUCAUUGUCAAUUUUUAGAUGAAAGUCAAGAUAUGAGGCAGACUUAACUGUAUCUGUAGUAUCAUUUAUCUCUAGUUCGAUUGGAUAGAUUCGUUCAGCAUAGUCACCAAAUUUUGUAUUAUUAAACGAGAGAAUAUUAUCUAUAUAGCGGAACGUAAAGUUAAAGGAUGUUGCUUACUUUUUAUCUUUCUUCCUUAGAAAUUCCUGAAUAAUGUCAGCCACAUAAUAAUAGAGAAACAAAUCGGGAAGAAGAGGGGCACAUUGGCUCACAUUGGAAUUCCGACAGUCUGUUGAAAUACACGUUCUAUAAACGUAACAAAUAUGUUGUCAGGGUACUUUUCUAUCCC
Molecule: long non-coding RNA, 618 nt
Filed under: Mytilus galloprovincialis (Mediterranean mussel)
Lineage: Eukaryota; Metazoa; Mollusca; Bivalvia; Mytilida; Mytilidae
Source: RNAcentral